GACGAACGCUGGCGGCGUGCUUAACACAUGCAAGUCGAACGGAAAGGCCCUGCUUUUGUGGGGUGCUCGAGUGGCGAACGGGUGAGUAACACGUGAGUAACCUGCCCUUGACUUUGGGAUAACUUCAGGAAACUGGGGCUAAUACCGGAUAGGAGCUCCUGCUGCAUGGUGGGGGUUGGAAAGUUUCGGCGGUUGGGGAUGGACUCGCGGCUUAUCAGCUUGUUGGUGGGGUAGUGGCUUACCAAGGCUUUGACGGGUAGCCGGCCUGAGAGGGUGACCGGCCACAUUGGGACUGAGAUACGGCCCAGACUCCUACGGGAGGCAGCAGUGGGGAAUAUUGCACAGUGGGCGGAAGCCUGAUGCAGCAACGCCGCGUGCGGGAUGACGGCCUUCGGGUUGUAAACCGCUUUCGCCUGUGACGAAGCGUGAGUGACGGUAAUGGAUAAAGAAGCACCGGCUAACUACGU
RNAcentral lists this ribosomal RNA (467 nucleotides) under uncultured bacterium. Its description in RNAcentral is "partial 16S ribosomal RNA". It matches the Rfam family "Bacterial small subunit ribosomal RNA", at positions 28 to 506 of the family's 1533-position model. The record is from RNAcentral.